AUGAGCCAGCAAAACCGGGUGUCGGACGUGCGGCCCGCCGAGCCCGCGUUCCUGUCUCGCUUCAAGGAGCGAGUCGGCUACCGGGAAGGGCCCACCGUGGAGACGAAACCUGUUCCCUGAAAUGUCAAGACAAUCCAGCCGCAGCUCCCAGAUGAAGAGGGUGAUCACAGUGACAAAGAAGAUGAGCGGCCCCAAGUGGUGGUUUUAAAAAAGGGAGACUUGACAGCUGAAGAAGUUAUGAAAAUUAAAGCAGAAAUAAAGGCUGCCAAAGCAGAUGAAGAACCAGCCCCAACUGAUGGAAGAAUCAUGUAUCGAAAACCAGUCAAGCGGCCCUCAGAAGAAAAAUACUCAGGUUUAACAGCAAGCUCAAAAAAGAAGAAAAAAGAGGAUGAAGUAAAUAAGCAAGAUUCCCUUAAAAAGAACUCACCAAAGCAAAUAAAAAAUAGCAGCCUCCUUUCUUUUGGGAAUGAUGAUGAAAACGAGUGAGCGUGAACGUUUUAGCUUAGUCUCCUUUGAAAGUACAGGAAAUAUUUUUUAAAAUAAUAUAUUUCCUGUUUUUUAAGUAAGAUUUUUUCCUAGUUAUAUAAGUUCAUUAUAGAAAAUUUAGAAAAUACAGCAA
Molecule: RNA transcript, 619 nt
Organism: Octodon degus (degu)
Lineage: Eukaryota; Metazoa; Chordata; Mammalia; Rodentia; Octodontidae
Exons: 2
Source: RefSeq, a predicted model, not a curated record